Molecule: ribosomal RNA, 439 nt
Filed under: uncultured bacterium
Lineage: Bacteria
Description: SSU rRNA
Rfam family: Bacterial small subunit ribosomal RNA
Source: RNAcentral
AGAAUGAACGCUAGCGAUAUGCUUAACACAUGCAAGUUGAACGUUGUUUUCGAAUCAGAAUGAGAACAAAGUAGCGAACGGGUGCGUAACACGUGGGAAUCUGCCGAACAGUUUGGGCCAAAUCCCGAAUGAAUAAAAGCUAAAAAGCGCUGUUUGAUGAGCCCACGUAGUAUUAGGUAGUUGGUUAGGUAAAAGCUGACCAAGCCUACGAUGCUUAGCUGGUCUUUUCGGAUGAUCAGCCACACUGGGACUGAGACACGGCCCAGACUCCUACGGGAGGCAGCAGUGGGGAAUCUUGGACAAUGGGCGAAAGCCUGAUCCGGCAAUAUGGCGUGAGUGAAGAAGGGCAACGCAGCUUGUAAAGCUCUUUCAUCGAGUGUGCGAUUGUGACAAGACUCGAAUAAGAACGCCCCGGCUAACCUCCGCGCCAGCCAGCCGC